RNAcentral lists this long non-coding RNA (2831 nucleotides) under Gallus gallus (chicken). Lineage: Eukaryota; Metazoa; Chordata; Aves; Galliformes; Phasianidae. The record is from RNAcentral.
CAAAACCUUUUCAUAAACCUGUCCUGAUUAUUUCAGCAAGAUGACAACCACCAGACUCAAAAAUGCCUAUGUUGAUUUGGUCCUUUAUUAUUUUAAGUAUACUUCACAACAUUUCAGAGUCCCGGAAAGCUCAGUAGGCAAAAAGAAGCACUGCUAUAAUAAUGACGCAGAACAGAAAGUGAAUCACAGUCUGCAGCUGCUGAGACAGAAGAUGUAGGUGGAAGGCUACAGGGAACUGAGGCAUGAAGCUCGCUGCUAGUAAGCUGACUCACAUUCCACACAUGUGCAGAAGGUUUCAUAAAUGUGGUUAUAAUUGAAGUCUGCUUUGUAGGCCAACAAUAAGAGAGUUAAAUUACCUUCGGAAUUUCCUUUGAACUGGGUCUAUGCAGAGCACAGAAGUGAGCCACAGCAUACUCUAACAAUGCUCCAAAGAUGAAACUGAAACAGAUGCCAAGAUUCUGGCUGGAACUGAUGACUGGCUUAUCCAAAACGAUACCCAGGAGAGCACAACCAAGAGAAUUGAUGCUUCAGUACAUGCUGUGAAGCACUGCAGAACUAUCAGAAAAAGAGCAAAUGAUGGAAAGUUUUGUAUUUUUCAAGUGGAAAACUCCACUUACAAGGAACAAGCUCAGCUAGGCAAGUUGCGCAUACUUGGCAAAAGAUACGUGAGUAUGCAACUGCUUGAAUCUUAGGUGAGUCUGACCAGAUAGUCCCCAGAUAAGAUUGUACUGACUGCAGUUCUGAGAUUGUUUUUAAGGCCUGCAUGGCAAAGAUGACAUUAUCAGAAGUAAAAAUUGGAGACCAAUUGCAGAUUAUAAAAGAACAGAUAAAGGGAAUGACAGGAAUUACUCAGUGUACCACAUCAUGAAAAAAGGAGAAUUGAAAAUCCUAGAAAAGUUUGAUUGCUAACUAAUAGGAAACUGCAGAGCAGUGAGAAAGAUUGAGCAAGGUAAUGCCACUGUUGUGAGAGAAAGACUGUGAAAAAAUGCUGCAGACAGACUACAGACAAGCAGCAGCCAGCUCCCUUUGCAGGCUCUUUCAGAAAGGCAAAUGCCCUAUUAUCUGUGUGAAUCAAGGACAGGAGGCUGACUUUAAGCUUCUGUCCAUCCCUCUGUUCUGCCAAAAUAGUACCAUUUAGAUGAGCGACCUUGCUGACUUCACAGUUCCUAAGUGGAGAGGUCUGCCUGAAAAAACUCUCCCUGGCUUCUGGACAGGGGUUGAGGACUCUGUGUUAGCUGAGUACACUGAGCUCAUCACCCUUGCUGCUUCUGAGGGCUUGGUUGUAGCGCAGCAGUGAAAACAAGGCUAAAGGAAGUUGUCAGCCAGUGCAGAGGGAGAGUUAACAGCAGCCAACUACCCUGAGUUAUCAAACCCGUUUUUGCUUCUUUCAUUGAUUAGAAAUGUUAAUAGAGAUUGAUUAGCUAUGGCUUGCUGUGAAAAUAUAAUCCAUGCGGGUCUGUCCUGCACCCAGAAUUGCUCACUGGCAAAUAGGAUGGCACACUGUGGCGUACCUAGAAAUACCAAGCAGAGAGGACAGUCAGCACAUUGGAGAGCAGGACCUGUGUUCAUAAUUAUAACAACAAAUAUCAAAACAGCCUCAGCAAAGAAGAUGCAGUUCAACAGAAGUCCUGCCCUUAGCCAGGAAUUACUCGCUGGAAAUCACAAGCUGAAUGAGGUUAGCAGUGCACAGAAAUUUUCUGCAAGAAAAGCAAAUGUCUACCUGAAGUGGAUAAAGAGGAACAGAGUUCAUGAAAUGCAUGAAAUAAUUCCUUACUUCUACGGAGGACAUUGGGGCACUUAAUUUUGAGUGCUGCACAUCAAUAGACAAACAUAUUGGAAGACCAAUAGCAAAGACAGGAGAUCUAGAAAACUGUUUAUGUGAAUUAAAGAGAGGGAAAACGUUAGCCUGAGAAAUGAAGAAAGGGUUGCUGAAAAACAGCAGGAAAUUUAUCUUUCUUAUCCACAGAAGACAAUGCAGUGCAUAAUGGGUCUGAAAUGUAGCAAAGGAGAUCAAGAUUAGACAGAAGGAAAAUAUGUUUGCAAUAAUCACCAGAAAAAAAUCAUCUAGAGAAGCUGAGGAGUAGACACACUGGAGGUUUGUCUAAUUUACUGCUAAGAACAUCUGUCAGGAAGUACGUUGUUGAUAUAGAUGAGCUUGUCUUGGGACAUGAGAACAGAUUAAGUGAAUUGUUGAAGUCUAUUCCAACCUUAUUUCUAUCAUUAUUUACACAAAAAGCUAGACCGUAACAGUCUUUAGUUGCUUUCAUGUUUUUCCAAUAAUAAAUGCAAGCUUUUUACAUCACUAUUUGUUACUCUGAGGAUGCAGGUGGUGUUGGCUAGACAACUAAAAUAAAAAGCCAGCCGCCACUGAUGCACUUACUUGGUUUUGGGGUCCAAGAGCAUAUGUAUCAGUGUUUGCAGAACAAGGAUUAUAGUUCAAGACAUGCAGGAAGUGGUUCUAGCAAUGAAUUUACCUAUGUCCAAAAUUAAAUUAUUCUGUACCAAAUACAAAUUAUUCUGUGCUGUACAAAAACAGCACAAAAUCCCAACCAGCCCUCCAGUUAACAUUAUACAAAGCAACUUCCUAUUAUGUGAUUAUUAUAAUGUGAUUACUAUUAUGUGAUACACGGUGUUCUGUAAACAAGAUUAAUCCAUGUAGUCCUUUUCUUAAGUAUCCUGAAGUUGCUUAUGCAGGGAUUUUGCUGACCAUAUUCUAAUCUUGGCUCUGUCCACGGCUGUACGUGAACUUGGGCUCUCCAUUGCUGCACAAUAUUUCACUUACACAACAGCUGUACUGUCUGUUCAAGUUCACAGAGUAUCAAAUUUUGAUU